Molecule: ribosomal RNA, 253 nt
Filed under: uncultured bacterium
Lineage: Bacteria
Description: partial 16S ribosomal RNA
Rfam family: Bacterial small subunit ribosomal RNA
Source: RNAcentral
UACGGAGGGUGCAAGCAUUAAUCGGAAUUACUGGGCGUAAAGCGUGCGCAGGCGGUUUGUUAAGUCUGCUGUGAAAUCCCCGAGCUCAACUUGGGAAUUGCAGUGGAUACUGGCAAGCUGGAGUACGGUAGAGGAAGGUGGAAUUCCCGGUGUAGCAGUGAAAUGCGUAGAGAUCGGGAGGAACACCAGUGGCGAAGGCGGCCUCUGGACCAGUACUGACGCUCAUGCACGAAAAGCGUGGGGAGCAAACAGG